Long non-coding RNA from Bos taurus (domestic cattle), 498 nucleotides. Lineage: Eukaryota; Metazoa; Chordata; Mammalia; Artiodactyla; Bovidae. The record is from Ensembl.
CCCUUGCCCAAGUCGGGCGGGGGCCCCGGGCCCCGGCCGGACCCGGGCGGGCUCUGGCGGCCGCUCUGGGAGACGCAGACCCGAGCCCGCGGAGCCUGGGGGAACCCGGGCGCGCGGAGUCCGCCGGCGGCGGCGGAAGCAGCCAGGCUCCUCCGUCUGUGGAAUUCUCCAGGCAAGAAUACUGGAGUGGGUUGCCAUGCUCUCCUCCAGGGCCUCUUCCCAACCCAGGGAUUGAACCCACAUCUCUUGCAUCUCCUGCAUUGGCAGGCAGGUUCUUUACCACUGAGCCACCUGGAAAACCCAAUAAAAAUGCAGGUGUGGUCCAUCCUGUCCUGGGGGAUCCUAGACCUGAUAACUUCCCAGGGGAGCUCCAGGCAGCAGAUGGCAGUUUAACACAUGAACUUCUGGUCAAGCAGAGAAGCUGCAAGAGGACAAGGGCUUUGUCUGCUCACUGCUGCAUCCUUAGAACCAAAAACAUUUGUGAAAGGAAGGAAAGGA